This 379-nucleotide ribosomal RNA is filed under the name uncultured eukaryote. Its description in RNAcentral is "partial 18S ribosomal RNA". It matches the Rfam family "Eukaryotic small subunit ribosomal RNA", at positions 592 to 976 of the family's 1831-position model. The record is from RNAcentral.
CAAUAGCGUAUAUUUAAGUUGUUGCAGUUAAAAAGCUCGUAGUUGGAUUUCGGAUGGGACUUGCCGGUCCGUCGUUUCGAUGUGCACUGGCCAGUCCUAUCUUGUUGUCGGGGACUAGCUCCUGGGCUUCACUGUCCGGGACUAGGAGCUGACGAGGUUACUUUGAGUAAAUUAGAGUGUUCAAAGCAAGCCUACGCUCUGAAUAUAUUAGCAUGGAAUAACACGAUAGGACUCUGGCUUAUCUUGUUGGUCUGUGAGACCAGAGUAAUGAUUAAGAGGGACAGUCGGGGACAUUCGCAUUUCAUUGUCAGAGGUGAAAUUCUUGGAUUUAUGAAAGACGAACUUCUGCGAAAGCAUUUGUCAAGGAUGUUUUCAUUAA